UACAUAGGGGGCAAGCGUUGUCCGGAUUCAUUGGGCGUAAAGAGCGUGUAGGCGGCCAGGUAGGUCGGUUGUGAAAACUGGAGGCUCAACCUUCAGAGGUCGACCGAAACCAUCUGGCUAGAGUCCGGGAGAGGAGAGUGGAAUUCCUGGUGUAGCGGUGAGAUGCGCAGAUAUCAGGAAGAACACCCGUGGCGAAGGCGGCUCUCUGGGACGGUACUGACGCUGAGACGCGAAAGCGUGGGGAGCGAACAGG
RNAcentral lists this ribosomal RNA (253 nucleotides) under uncultured bacterium. RNAcentral describes it as "partial 16S ribosomal RNA". It matches the Rfam family "Bacterial small subunit ribosomal RNA", at positions 524 to 776 of the family's 1533-position model. The record is from RNAcentral.